RNAcentral lists this ribosomal RNA (137 nucleotides) under uncultured eukaryote. RNAcentral describes it as "partial 18S ribosomal RNA". It matches the Rfam family "Eukaryotic small subunit ribosomal RNA", at positions 1299 to 1458 of the family's 1831-position model. The record is from RNAcentral.
UGGUGGAGUGAUUUGUCUGCUUAAUUGCGAUAACGAACGAGACCUUAACCUGCUAACUAGUCCGCAUUGCUUUGGCAGUGUGCCGACUUCUUAGAGGGACUAUCGGCUCAAGCCGAUGGAAGUUUGAGGCAAUAACA